Molecule: ribosomal RNA, 698 nt
Filed under: Klebsiella quasipneumoniae subsp. similipneumoniae
Lineage: Bacteria; Pseudomonadati; Pseudomonadota; Gammaproteobacteria; Enterobacterales; Enterobacteriaceae
Description: bacterial SSU rRNA
Rfam family: Bacterial small subunit ribosomal RNA
Source: RNAcentral
UCCGGAGCUAACGCGUUAAAUCGACCGCCUGGGGAGUACGGCCGCAAGGUUAAAACUCAAAUGAAUUGACGGGGGCCCGCACAAGCGGUGGAGCAUGUGGUUUAAUUCGAUGCAACGCGAAGAACCUUACCUGGUCUUGACAUCCACAGAACUUGCCAGAGAUGGCUUGGUGCCUUCGGGAACUGUGAGACAGGUGCUGCAUGGCUGUCGUCAGCUCGUGUUGUGAAAUGUUGGGUUAAGUCCCGCAACGAGCGCAACCCUUAUCCUUUGUUGCCAGCGGUUAGGCCGGGAACUCAAAGGAGACUGCCAGUGAUAAACUGGAGGAAGGUGGGGAUGACGUCAAGUCAUCAUGGCCCUUACGACCAGGGCUACACACGUGCUACAAUGGCGCAUACAAAGAGAAGCGACCUCGCGAGAGCAAGCGGACCUCAUAAAGUGCGUCGUAGUCCGGAUUGGAGUCUGCAACUCGACUCCAUGAAGUCGGAAUCGCUAGUAAUCGUAGAUCAGAAUGCUACGGUGAAUACGUUCCCGGGCCUUGUACACACCGCCCGUCACACCAUGGGAGUGGGUUGCAAAAGAAGUAGGUAGCUUAACCUUCGGGAGGGCGCUUACCACUUUGUGAUUCAUGACUGGGGUGAAGUCGUAACAAGGUAACCGUAGGGGAACCUGCGGUUGGAUCACCUCCUUACCUUAAAGAA